Molecule: ribosomal RNA, 448 nt
Filed under: uncultured bacterium
Lineage: Bacteria
Description: bacterial SSU rRNA
Rfam family: Bacterial small subunit ribosomal RNA
Source: RNAcentral
UCGAGAAUUUUUCUCAAUGGGCGAAAGCCUGAAGGAGCGACGCCGCGUGGGGGAUGAAUGGCUUCGGCCCGUAAACCCCUGUCAUUUGUGAACAAAUUGCUUCACCUAACACGUGGAGCAUUGAUUGUAACGGAAGAGGAAGGGACGGCUAACUCUGUGCCAGCAGCCGCGGUAAUACAGAGGUCCCAAGCGUUGUUCGGAUUCACUGGGCGUAAAGGGUGCGUAGGCGGUUGGACAAGUCUGAUGUGAAAUCCCGCAGCUUAACUGCGGAACGGCAUUGGAAACUGUCCGACUAGAGGAAUGGAGGGGAGACUGGAAUACUUGGUGUAGCAGUGAAAUGCGUAGAUAUCAAGUGGAACACCAGUGGCGAAGGCGAGUCUCUGGACAUUUCCUGACGCUGAGGCACGAAAGCCAGGGGAGCAAACGGGAUUAGAUACCCGCGUAGUCC